This 406-nucleotide long non-coding RNA is filed under the name Brassica napus (rape). Its description in RNAcentral is "long non-coding RNA (BNAP_LNC008766)". Lineage: Eukaryota; Viridiplantae; Streptophyta; Magnoliopsida; Brassicales; Brassicaceae. The record is from RNAcentral.
ACUGCCGAUUGCGAGCUAUCUUAAUCUUGUCCUUCUUCACCAUAUGCUCCCUUCACUCUCUCGUCUUCUUCUUCUUCUCCUUCCACCACUCUCAGUCGCUCUCUCUAGCCACAACUCAGCGAAAUUAAUCUUCACAACUUUUAUUUACAAAGCUCUUAGUUUUUAUUAACCCUUCCCUAAAACCCUAAUCUUGGCUUCUUAUAUAUCUCGUGACUCUUGUUUCUCCGUCCAAUCUCUCUCCCUUCUCCACUAACCAACCAACUGUGUUCUUUAUGUAAAACGUCACUCAUAGGCCAGUUUCUUUGGUUUCCAUAAAAAAAUCUCAGAUUCCAAUUGGUUUUAUUUUCCCCUUCUCUGCUAUUUCAUUAAAUGAUGAACAUUUGUAAGAAGCUUUAUUUCAUCAUCC